RNAcentral lists this ribosomal RNA (79 nucleotides) under Symbolanthus elisabethae. RNAcentral describes it as "partial 5.8S ribosomal RNA". It matches the Rfam family "5.8S ribosomal RNA", at positions 81 to 154 of the family's 154-position model. Rfam says of the family: 5.8S ribosomal RNA (5.8S rRNA) is a component of the large subunit of the eukaryotic ribosome. The record is from RNAcentral. Lineage: Eukaryota; Viridiplantae; Streptophyta; Magnoliopsida; Gentianales; Gentianaceae.
CCCGUGAACCAUCGAGUCUUUGAACGCAAGUUGCGCCCAAAGCCAUUAGGCCGAGGGCACGUCUGCCUGGGCGUCACGC